UGCCAGCCGCCGCGGUAAUACGGAGGGUACAAGCGUUGUCCGGAUUUAUUGGGUUUAAAGGGUGCGCAGGCGGAGCGCUAAGUCAGUGGUGAAAUCCCGAGGCUCAACCUCGGAACUGCCUUUGAUACUGUCAGUCUAGAGUCUGUGAGAGGAUGACGGAAUACCCAGUGUAGAGGUGAAAUUCGUAGAUAUUGGGUAGAACACCGGUGGCGAAGGCGGUCAUCUGGCGCAGCACUGACGCUGAGGCGCGAAAGCGUGGGGAGCAAACAGGAUUAGAUA
RNAcentral lists this ribosomal RNA (279 nucleotides) under uncultured bacterium. RNAcentral describes it as "partial 16S ribosomal RNA". It matches the Rfam family "Bacterial small subunit ribosomal RNA", at positions 506 to 784 of the family's 1533-position model. The record is from RNAcentral.